CCUACGGGAGGCUGCAGUAGGGAAUCUUCCACAAUGGGCGAAAGCCUGAUGGAGCAACGCCGCGUGGGUGAAGAAGGUCUUCGGAUCGUAAAACCCUGUUGUUAGAGAAGAAAGUGCGUUAGAGUAACUGUUCACGUUUCGACGGUAUCUAACCAGAAAGCCACGGCUAACUACGUGCCGGCAGCCGCGGUAAUACGUAGGUGGCAAGCGUUAUCCGGAUGUAUUGGGCGUAAAGGGAACGCAGGCGGUCUUUUAAGUCUGAUGUGAAAGCCUUCGGGUUAAACGGAGUAGUGCAUUGGAAGCUGGGAGAGUUGAGUGCAGAAGAGGAGAGAGGAACUCCAUGUGUAGAGGUGAAAUGCGUAGAUAUAUGGCAGAACACAAGGGGCGAAAGCGGAUCUCUGGUCUGUAAAUGACGCUGAGGUUCGAAAGCGUGAGUAGCACACAGGAUUAGAUACCCCUGUAGUC
RNAcentral lists this ribosomal RNA (465 nucleotides) under uncultured bacterium. Its description in RNAcentral is "partial 16S ribosomal RNA". It matches the Rfam family "Bacterial small subunit ribosomal RNA", at positions 338 to 795 of the family's 1533-position model. The record is from RNAcentral.